UACGGAGGGUCCAAGCGUUAUCCGGAAUCAUUGGGUUUAAAGGGUCCGUAGGCGGGCGAUUAAGUCAGAGGUGAAAUCCCACAGCUCAACUGUGGAACUGCCUUUGAUACUGGUUGUCUUGAGUUACAGUGAAGUAGAUAGAAUAUGUAGUGUAGCGGUGAAAUGCAUAGAUAUUACAUAGAAUACCGAUUGCGAAGGCAGUCUACUAACUGUUAACUGACGCUAAGGGACGAAAGCGUGGGGAGCGAACAGGAUUAGAUACCCUGGUAGUCCACGCCGUAAACGAUGGUCACUAGUUGUUGGGGCGUUUGCCUCAGUGAUUAAGCGAAAGUGAUAAGUGACCCACCUGGGGAGUACGAUCGCAAGAUUGAA
Molecule: ribosomal RNA, 372 nt
Filed under: uncultured bacterium
Lineage: Bacteria
Description: bacterial SSU rRNA
Rfam family: Bacterial small subunit ribosomal RNA
Source: RNAcentral